UGCCUGCUGAUUGGUGUCUUACCAGACAAAGUUAGAUCUCGCUAUUUCCGUCUAAUACUGUCUGGUAAUGCCAUUGGUCACAUGGCAAGAUCUUCAUCU
Molecule: microRNA precursor, 99 nt
Filed under: Vombatus ursinus (common wombat)
Lineage: Eukaryota; Metazoa; Chordata; Mammalia; Diprotodontia; Vombatidae
Description: miRNA (ENSVURG00010023600.1)
Rfam family: mir-8/mir-141/mir-200 microRNA precursor family (bases 10-78)
About the family: The bounds of the precursors are predicted based on conservation and base pairing and are not generally known.
Source: RNAcentral